GAUGAACGCUGGCGGCGUGCCUAAUACAUGCAAGUCGAGCGAACGGACGAGAAGCUUGCUUCUCUGAUGUUAGCGGCGGACGGGUGAGUAACACGUGGAUAACCUACCUAUAAGACUGGGAUAACUUCGGGAAACCGUAGCUAAUACCGGAUAAUAUUUUGAACCGCAUGGUUCAAAAGUGAAAGACGGUCUUGCUGUCACUUAUAGAUGGAUCCGCGCUGCAUUAGCUAGUUGUUAAGGUAACGGCUUACCAAGGCAACGAUGCAUAGCCGACCUGAGAGGGUGAUCGGCCACACGGGAACUGAGACACGGUCCAGACUCCUACGGGAGGCAGCAGUAGGGAAUCUUCCGCAAUGGGCGAAAGCCUGACGGAGCAACGCCGCGUGAGUGAUGAAGGUCUUCGGAUCGUAAAACUCUGUUAUUAGGGAAGAACAGAUGUGUAAGUAACUGUGCACAUCUUGACGGUACCUAAUCAGAAAGCCACGGCUAACUACGUG
RNAcentral lists this ribosomal RNA (497 nucleotides) under uncultured bacterium. Its description in RNAcentral is "partial 16S ribosomal RNA". It matches the Rfam family "Bacterial small subunit ribosomal RNA", at positions 28 to 507 of the family's 1533-position model. The record is from RNAcentral.